UACGUAGGGUGCGAGCGUUGUCCGGAUUUAUUGGGCGUAAAGAGCUCGUAGGCGGUUCGAUAAGUCGGGUGUGAAAUCUCCAGGCUCAACCUGGAGUCGCCACUUGAUACUGUCGUGACUUGAGUUCGGUAGGGGACCAUGGAAUUCCUGGUGUAGCGGUGAAAUGCGCAGAUAUCAGGAGGAACACCAGUAGCGAAGGCGGUGGUCUGGGCCGACACUGACGCUGAGGAGCGAAAGCGUGGGGAGCGAACAGG
Molecule: ribosomal RNA, 254 nt
Filed under: uncultured bacterium
Lineage: Bacteria
Description: partial 16S ribosomal RNA
Rfam family: Bacterial small subunit ribosomal RNA
Source: RNAcentral